This 20-nucleotide small nuclear RNA is filed under the name Arabidopsis thaliana (thale cress). Its description in RNAcentral is "snRNA_05779". Lineage: Eukaryota; Viridiplantae; Streptophyta; Magnoliopsida; Brassicales; Brassicaceae. The record is from RNAcentral.
CCAAGCUUAGCUUAAUCGUU